This is a long non-coding RNA of Daphnia carinata, 1168 nucleotides long. RefSeq lists it as uncharacterized. Lineage: Eukaryota; Metazoa; Arthropoda; Branchiopoda; Diplostraca; Daphniidae. The record is from RefSeq and is a predicted model, not a curated record. The transcript is spliced from 7 exons.
GGCAUCGUCGAUAUUGGUGUGUCGAUACCUGUCAAGAGAAUUUACAUCACCUAAAGCAAUCAACUCAAGUUGCACGCACGACUGAGACAAUCUGAAUGGUUCGGUUGCAAAUGGACCACUGUGUUCAGGCAAAUUUCGAAUGUUAUUCAACUUUGUCGUGAUGCAAGUUCAGCAGCCUCAAAUGGAACCAUUACUCCUUUUAGAGAUAUUGUCAUUUUAGCAUCAAUGCACUGAUCCGCUAUCAAGUUAAAAUAUCUUGCACGGUACUCAACUUUAAAAGUGUUACGAGUUUCUUGAGGCUCGAGUAUAUCGCAGAAGCGAACGUGAGUAAGCCCGAACGGAGCAAAAUCUUCACUUCAAUCGACCGAGGUUUGCGAUUGGAAUCUAUUUUUGACAAUUUCGAUUGGUUCGAGUGCAAUGGACCACAGCUCCCAAAAAGAGGACUCCAUCCACAACGACGAGCUAACAGCACGUUCCCACUUAUUACAUGUCGUAAAAUUAUGCCGUAACAGCCAGUGGUAUUAUUCGACCGUUGGAUAAUUACACGGCACUUGUCGGAGAUGGACGCUAUUGCAAUUUCAGGAUUAGCGCGCCCGUCGACCAGUUUGUUCAAAUAUCCUGUUCUAUUGUCUACACAAGCACCUCCCUGUCUUUGGAAAUUCGUAAUGUGCUCGACGUUGAAGCCAGUCCUCCAGUUUUGAACCGGGUCUACACUUCGAGAACGUAUUACCUGGACGUGUACUCUCGCCUUCGCAAACCGGACUGGUUUUCUUGCAGGAGGACAAUGAUUCCAGCACCUCCAUCGACCAUGACGGAUUAAAAAUUCUGUCAGCAUGGAAUGGUUUCGACGGCCAACGGGACUAUCCGACUAAUAGACUGCAUAACUGCGGGAGAAUGGAGAUAUUGCCUAUUUUACAUCGUGGCACCUGUUGAUCAUCAGAUUUAUUUUCUUGCUAGGCAGUCCAGUUAACUACCAAUACGAGUACAUUUACUAUGACUGGAGCAAUUGAGGGUGAAGGGCUUUAACUGCUAAGCGAUGGUUCUUAUUUGAAGCCUGAAUUAAACAAGAUAUAUCUGUCAAAAACCAGGAAUGUUUAUCUUCAAUCUCGAUUCAACAGCACUGACCGCAUUGUUGGACGUCAAUAACAGCAUUGCCAGUGUCAACGUC